AGACCCGAAACCCGGUGAUCUAGCCAUGGGCAGGUUGAAGGUUGGGUAACACUAACUGGAGGACCGAACCGACUAAUGUUGAAAAAUUAGCGGAUGACCUGUGGCUGGGGGUGAAAGGCCAAUCAAACCGGGAGAUAGCUGGUUCUCCCCGAAAGCUAUUUAGGUAGCGCCUCGUGAAUUCAUCUCCGGGGGUAGAGCACUGUUUCGGCCAGGGGGCCAUCCCGGCUUACCAAUCCGAUGCAAACUGCGAAUACCGGAGAAUGUUAUCACGGGAGACACACGGCGGGUGCUAACGUCCGUCGUGAAGAGGGAAACAACCCAGACCGCCAGCUAAGGUCCCAAAGUCAUGGUUAAGUGGGAAACGAUGUGGGAAGGCCCAGACAGCCAGGAUGUUGGCUUAGAAGCAGCCAUCAUUUAAAGAAAGCGUAAUAGCUCACUGGUCGAGUCGGCCUGCGCGGAAGAUGUAACGGGGCUAAACCAUGCACCGAAGCUGCGGCAGCGACACUGAUGUGUUGUUGGGUAGGGGAGCG
This 530-nucleotide ribosomal RNA is filed under the name Salmonella enterica. Its description in RNAcentral is "partial 23S ribosomal RNA". It matches the Rfam family "Bacterial large subunit ribosomal RNA", at positions 711 to 1238 of the family's 2925-position model. The record is from RNAcentral. RNAcentral also lists the same sequence under 3 other names. Lineage: Bacteria; Pseudomonadati; Pseudomonadota; Gammaproteobacteria; Enterobacterales; Enterobacteriaceae.